UACGGAGGGUGCGAGCGUUGUUCGGAAUUACUGGGCGUAAAGGGCGCGUAGGUGGUUGUGUAAGUCAGAUGUGAAAUCUCCCGGCUCAACUGGGAAACUGCAUCUGAUACUGCAUGACUAGAGUGCAGCAGAGGGAAACGGAAUUCCUGGUGUAGAGGUGAAAUUCGUAGAUAUCAGGAGGAACACCGGUGGCGAAGGCGGUUUCCUGGGCUGACACUGACACUGAGGCGCGAAAGCGUGGGUAG
Molecule: ribosomal RNA, 245 nt
Filed under: uncultured bacterium
Lineage: Bacteria
Description: partial 16S ribosomal RNA
Rfam family: Bacterial small subunit ribosomal RNA
Source: RNAcentral